UACAGAUUCCCAGGAUGCAUAGCUUUC
This 27-nucleotide non-coding RNA is filed under the name Mus musculus (house mouse). The record is from RNAcentral. Lineage: Eukaryota; Metazoa; Chordata; Mammalia; Rodentia; Muridae.